This 492-nucleotide ribosomal RNA is filed under the name uncultured bacterium. Its description in RNAcentral is "partial 16S ribosomal RNA". It matches the Rfam family "Bacterial small subunit ribosomal RNA", at positions 29 to 507 of the family's 1533-position model. The record is from RNAcentral.
AGUGAACGCUGGCGGUAGGCCUAACACAUGCAAGUCGAACGGCAGCACAGUAAGAGCUUGCUCUUACGGGUGGCGAGUGGCGGACGGGUGAGGAAUACAUCGGAAUCUACUUUUUCGUGGGGGAUAACGUAGGGAAACUUACGCUAAUACCGCAUACGACCUACGGGUGAAAGCAGGGGAUCUUCGGACCUUGCGCGAUUGAAUGAGCCGAUGUCGGAUUAGCUAGUUGGCGGGGUAAAGGCCCACCAAGGCGACGAUCCGUAGCUGGUCUGAGAGGAUGAUCAGCCACACUGGAACUGAGACACGGUCCAGAGUCCUACGGGAGGCAGCAGUGGGGAAUAUUGGACAAUGGGCGCAAGCCUGAUCCAGCCAUACCGCGUGGGUGAAGAAGGCCUUCGGUUUGUAAAGCCCUUUUGUUGGGAAAGAAAAGCAGUAGGUUAAUACCCCGCUGUUCUGACGGUACCCAAAGAAUAAGCACCGGCUAACUUCGUG